GACGAACGCUGGCGGCGUGCUUAACACAUGCAAGUCGAACGGUAAGGCCCUUCGGGGUACACGAGUGGCGAACGGGUGAGUAACACGUGGGUGAUCUGCCCUGCACUUCGGGAUAAGCCUGGGAAACUGGGUCUAAUACCGGAUAGGACUCCGGACUGCAUGGUCUGGGGUGGAAAGCUUUUGCGGUGUGGGAUGGGCCCGCGGCCUAUCAGCUUGUUGGUGGGGCGAUGGCCUACCAAGGCGACGACGGGUAGCCGGCCUGAGAGGGUGACCGGCCACACUGGGACUGAGAUACGGUCCAGACUCCUACGGGAGGCAGCAGUGGGGAAUAUUGCACAAUGGGCGCAAGCCUGAUGCAGCGACGCCGCGUGAGGGAUGACGGCCUUCGGGUUGUAAACCUCUUUCAGCAUCGACGAAGCGAAAGUGACGGUAGGUGCAGAAGAAGGACCGGCCAACUACGUGCCAGCCGCCGCAGUAA
This 478-nucleotide ribosomal RNA is filed under the name uncultured bacterium. RNAcentral's name for it is "partial 16S ribosomal RNA". It matches the Rfam family "Bacterial small subunit ribosomal RNA", at positions 28 to 523 of the family's 1533-position model. The record is from RNAcentral.